GACGUAGGAGGCGAGCGUUGUUCGGAUUUACUGGGCGUAAAGGGCGCGUAGGCGGCGUGACAAGUCACUUGUGAAAUCUCCGGGCUUAACUCGGAACGGUCAAGUGAUACUGUCGGACUAGAGUACAGAAGGGGCAACUGGAAUUCUCGGUGUAGCGGUGAAAUGCGUAGAUAUCGAGAGGAACACCUGCGGCGAAGGCGGGUUGCUGGGCUGAUACUGACGCUGAGGCGCGAAAGCCAGGGGAGCGAACGGG
This 253-nucleotide ribosomal RNA is filed under the name uncultured bacterium. Its description in RNAcentral is "partial 16S ribosomal RNA". It matches the Rfam family "Bacterial small subunit ribosomal RNA", at positions 524 to 776 of the family's 1533-position model. The record is from RNAcentral.